AAGCUUAAUAAAAGUAACUUCUAAUUACUUAAAAGUAAAAUUUACUUAAGCUUU
RNAcentral lists this transfer RNA (54 nucleotides) under Neomaskellia andropogonis. Its description in RNAcentral is "tRNA-Ser". The record is from RNAcentral. Lineage: Eukaryota; Metazoa; Arthropoda; Insecta; Hemiptera; Aleyrodidae.